This 465-nucleotide ribosomal RNA is filed under the name uncultured bacterium. RNAcentral describes it as "bacterial SSU rRNA". It matches the Rfam family "Bacterial small subunit ribosomal RNA", at positions 338 to 795 of the family's 1533-position model. The record is from RNAcentral.
CCUANGGGAGGCAGCAGUGGGGAAUAUUGGACAAUGGGGGCAACCCUGAUCCAGCCAUGCCGCGUGUGUGAAGAAGGCCUUCGGGUUGUAAAGCACUUUUGUUGGGGAAGAAAAGCACUGGGCUAAUACCCUGGUGUCAUGACGGUACCCAAAGAAUAAGCACCGGCUAACUUCGUGCCAGCAGCCGCGGUAAUACGAAGGGUGCAAGCGUUACUCGGAAUUACUGGGCGUAAAGCGUGCGUAGGCGGUUUGUUAAGUCUGUCGUGAAAGCCCCGGGCUCAACCUGGGAAUGGCGAUGGAAACUGGCGAGCUAGAGUACGGUAGAGGAGAGUGGAAUUCCCGGUGUAGCAGUGAAAUGCGUAGAGAUCGGGAGGAACAUCAGUUGCGAAGGCGGCUCUCUGGACCAGUACUGACGCUGAGGCACGAAAGCGUGGGGAGCAAACAGGAUUAGAUACCCCANUANUC